AAACAUUGGAAAGAAAAGAAAAUUUUCAUUUCAAACAAAUUCCAUUUAUUGCAGACAAGGGCUCCUCCUAGCUUCUUACAUGUUGGACUGCUGAGUGAUGCAUCAUCUUGACAGCAGAACACAGAGGCAGUGCACUUUGUUAAUUAUGGACAGGUCGAGGUGCAUUGCCUGCUCACUGUCGUCUACAAAGCACUUGUUUAAUGGCACGUAGCUGUUAAGGAAUGUUGAGCUGCUUCUUUUAAGAGACAGGAACACUUGAACACUGUUAUCUCGUAUUCAUUUGGAGCUCUUGGUGAAAGAAAAACUGAAACACUCGGUCAUCAUCAAUUUCAAACGUUUCAUUCUUCUAUUCCUUUA
Rhodamnia argentea is the source of this 357-nucleotide long non-coding RNA. RefSeq lists it as uncharacterized. The record is from RefSeq and is a predicted model, not a curated record. The transcript is spliced from 3 exons. NCBI's taxonomy places the organism in Eukaryota, Viridiplantae, Streptophyta, Magnoliopsida, Myrtales, Myrtaceae.